This 607-nucleotide ribosomal RNA is filed under the name uncultured bacterium. Its description in RNAcentral is "bacterial SSU rRNA". It matches the Rfam family "Bacterial small subunit ribosomal RNA", at positions 8 to 607 of the family's 1533-position model. The record is from RNAcentral.
AGAGUUUGAUUCUGGCUCAGGAUGAACGCUAGCGGCAGGCCUAACACAUGCAAGUCGAGGGGCAGCAUAAAACAAGCUUGCUUGUUUGGUGGCGACCGGCGCACGGGUGCGUAACGCGUAUGCAACCUACCCUGUACUGGGGGAUAGCCCGGAGAAAUUCGGAUUAAGACCCCAUAGCACUUAAGAAUGGCAUCAUUUUUAAGUUAAAGGUUACGGUACAGGAUGGGCAUGCGUCCCAUUAGCUAGAUGGUAAGGUAACGGCUUACCAUGGCAACGAUGGGUAGGGGGCCUGAGAGGGUGGUCCCCCACACUGGUACUGAGACACGGACCAGACUCCUACGGGAGGCAGCAGUGAGGAAUAUUGGUCAAUGGGCGCAAGCCUGAACCAGCCAUGCCGCGUGCAGGAAGACGGUCCUAUGGAUUGUAAACUGCUUUUAUUUGGGAAUAAACCUAUUUACGUGUAGAUAGCUGAAGGUACCAAAUGAAUAAGCACCGGCUAACUCCGUGCCAGCAGCCGCGGUAAUACGGAGGGUGCAAGCGUUAUCCGGAAUCAUUGGGUUUAAAGGGUCCGCAGGCGGAUUUAUAAGUCAGUGGUGAAAGCCUACAG